CAGCCGUAAACUAUGCGCGUUAGGUGUACUGGUGACCACGAGUCACCGGGGUGCCGAAGGGAAACCGUGAAACGUGCCGCCUGGGAAGUACGGUCGCAAAGGCUGAAACUUAAAGGAAUUGGCGGGGGAGCACCACAACAGGUGGAGCCUGCGGUUUAAUUGGACUCAACGCCGGGAAGCUCACCGGAUAGGACAGCAGAAUGAUUGCCGGGCUGAAGACCCUGCAUGACUAGCUGAGAGGUGGUGCAUGGCGUCAGUGACU
This 262-nucleotide ribosomal RNA is filed under the name uncultured archaeon. RNAcentral's name for it is "partial 16S ribosomal RNA". It matches the Rfam family "Archaeal small subunit ribosomal RNA", at positions 748 to 1008 of the family's 1478-position model. The record is from RNAcentral.